GUUUCAGCAGCCGCGGUAAGACGAACCGUGCGAACGUUAUUCGGAUUUAUUGGGCUUAAAGAGUGCGUAGGUGGCAGUGUAAGUCGGGGGUGAAAUACUAUCGGCUCAACCGUGGAAUUGCCUUCGAUACUGCAUUGCUUGAGGGGGAUAGGGGCAAGUGGAACUUCCGGUGGAGCGGUGAAAUGUGUUGAGAUCGGAAGGAACGCCAGUGGCGAAAGCGACUUGCUGGGUCUUCUCUGACACUGAGGCACGAAAGCUAGGGGAGCAAACGGGAUUAGAAACCCCGGUAGUCC
This 293-nucleotide ribosomal RNA is filed under the name uncultured bacterium. RNAcentral's name for it is "partial 16S ribosomal RNA". It matches the Rfam family "Bacterial small subunit ribosomal RNA", at positions 505 to 796 of the family's 1533-position model. The record is from RNAcentral.